GACGAACGCUGGCGGCGUGCUUAACACAUGCAAGUCGAACGGAAAGGCCCUGCUUUUGUGGGGUGCUCGAGUGGCGAAAGGGUGAGUAACACGUGAGUAACCUGCCCUUGACUUUGGGAUAACUUCAGGAAACUGGGGCUAAUACCGGAUAGGAGCUCCUGCUGCAUGGUGGGGGUUGGAAAGUUUCGGCGGUUGGGGAUGGACUCGCGGCUUAUCAGCUUGUUGGUGGGGUAGUGGCUUACCAAGGCUUUGACGGGUAGCCGGCCUGAGAGGGUGACCGGCCACAUUGGGACUGAGAUACGGCCCAGACUCCUGCGGGAGGCAGCAGUGGGGAAUAUUGCACAAUGGGCGGAAGCCUGAUGCAGCAACGCCGCGUGCGGGAUGACGGCCUUCGGGUUGUAAACCGCUUUCGCCUGUGACGAAGCGUGAGUGACGGUAAUGGGUAAAGAAGCACCGGCUAACUACGUG
Molecule: ribosomal RNA, 468 nt
Filed under: uncultured bacterium
Lineage: Bacteria
Description: partial 16S ribosomal RNA
Rfam family: Bacterial small subunit ribosomal RNA
Source: RNAcentral